ACUACAAAACUGUUUGUUCACUGUUGGGUUUAACACUUAAGAAACCAACGUCUAGAAGGAUAAGUGAGCUGAUUAACUAUUUAAAUCAAACCCAGUUAAAAUGAUAAACAAAGAAGCUCAGAGCUUAGUGAUGAACUAUGUUAUCCUGAUACUUUUACUCUUGAUUCUGUGGAUUCUUUACCAGGGGAUGUAAGAAGACUGGGAAACAAAUGCACUGAACAAUCGUGACAAACCAUCAAGAGGAGCCCAUAGUGCCAUCUGGUGGAACUAAGAAAUAAUGUGACUUUUUGGCAGACAGGAGUUAUUCUAUAUCUCAAAUAAUAGUUUACCCAAUAUGAAAUGAUGAAAGUUAUUAUUCAGAGCUUUAUCUUUGAGACCUGGAUUUUUUUUUCUUAAAUGCUAACUCUGAAACAGUACAUUAAGCCGAUUUGUUUUCCUCAUAUGUAAACCUAAAUUAAUAUGGGUUCCUCUUAUGCAUACAAAUUUCUGUGUACGAGUGUUGCUAUAAUCAUAUCUUAGAAAUUGAUACCACCUGCAAUCUGAGACAUACUUGGCUUCAAGAAAUGAAGAUGGUAAUUUGUGUAAGACCUUAAUCUAUAGUUAUGCUAUAUAGUUUUGUUACUUUGAUAUACACGUUUCAAAACUAUUCGUUUUUUUAUGUUUACAUAAAAGCAUUUGUUUUUCUAAUUUUUAUAACUUCAGGCUUUGCGUGAACAUCAAAUAUACUUGAUAAGUACUUCAAUUUAGAAACUAAAUAUUGGAAGAAAACUGCUUAAAAUGUGCAUUUUAUUAAUCGUAACUUUAUGUAACAUACUACCAAGUCUGCAGAAAAACAGCUGUCAAUCUUAACCAUAACUCAAAAGGUUCUCCGAAUGUUUCCUAAAAAUAGAAAUUUCAAAUAUUUUUUACUAGUUGGUGUUCAUUAUUUCAGAAGAAUGAUGUAAUACAAUGUGUUUAUAUUUAACUUAUUUUAAUAUAACUUAUAACCGUUUUAUUUGAUAGUUUUACUAACCAAAGAAGAUUAGGGCAGUUUUUAAGCACUUUCUUUUGUGGCGUAAUAAUUUUUGAGCUUAAUAUUUUUCUACAGCAGAGAUGUCUCUCUGUGUGUGUAUGUUAUUGUUGCAUAUAUUUAUUUAUUAACGAGUAUUUUCAGACCUAAACCCGUGUUUUUUAAUGCUAUAACUUCCAUGUUAUUAGUAUGUAAUUGUAUUUUACCUUUAGCGAUAGUACAUCAACUUAAAGGAUAUCACAGAAAGCUAAAUUGUAGAAAAAGUUUGUUUUACUGGUAUAAGAGAAAUGAUAAUAAUAAAGAAAUAUUUGG
Limulus polyphemus (Atlantic horseshoe crab) is the source of this 1321-nucleotide long non-coding RNA. RefSeq lists it as uncharacterized. Lineage: Eukaryota; Metazoa; Arthropoda; Merostomata; Xiphosura; Limulidae. The transcript has 3 exons. The record is from RefSeq and is a predicted model, not a curated record.